RNAcentral lists this ribosomal RNA (254 nucleotides) under uncultured bacterium. Its description in RNAcentral is "partial 16S ribosomal RNA". It matches the Rfam family "Bacterial small subunit ribosomal RNA", at positions 524 to 776 of the family's 1533-position model. The record is from RNAcentral.
GACGAACCGUGCGAACGUUAUUCGGAAUCACUGGGCUUAAAGCGCGUGUAGGCGGGGCGUUGCGUCGGUCGCUGAAAUCCCCCGGCUCAACCGGGGAAGGGGCGCCGAUACGACCGCCCUGGAGCGACGUAGGGGGAACUGGAACUUCCGGUGGAGCGGUGAAAUGCGUUGAGAUCGGAAGGAACGCCCGUGGCGAAAGCGAGUUCCUGGACGUCGGCUGACGCUGAGACGCGAAAGCCAGGGGAGCGAACGGG